Molecule: small RNA, 5892 nt
Filed under: Nilaparvata lugens (brown planthopper)
Lineage: Eukaryota; Metazoa; Arthropoda; Insecta; Hemiptera; Delphacidae
Description: uncharacterized LOC111051351, transcript variant X2
Source: RNAcentral
AGUCGAGCUUGGAUAUUUCUAUUUUGAGAAUCAGAUUUGCACAAAUUUUGCAAACCUUGCAAGCUGCGUCGUUCAUUAUCAAGGGAAUCUUGCAUUUAGUGAUUGAAUUUAUUCAUGUUUGUAAUCCGAUAAUUACAUUAAUCGAUAAUUCCUGGUGCUAAAUUCAGUUUUUGAGUUCUAAGCAGACAUCAAGUCAACUUUAGUUUCUAUUAGGUUAUUUUAUUGUGAACUAAAUAUUUUAUCAUAAGGUACGAAUGGAUACAGCGGUGAAUACGGAGCCAGACUUGCUGGAUAGUGUGAUCAGGUGUGGCCUCUACUUGGGCGCCAUCUUCCAACUGCUCUGCAUUGCAGCAGUGGUAGCAAUGCCUGAGAGGAAUUAUGAUCUUCACUUUGCAAAGGAUGACUUGAGUGACGAUGACUUAUCGGAAGGAAGUCCUCAGGCGACUCCGCGUCGUCCGCACGCGCACCAUCGCGCCCGCAAGCAGGAGAAGAAGAAGCGACGUUGAGUGCCACUCUAGUAUCUCGCUACUCGUUGCUGUUGCUGCUGCUGGGGUGCCACUCUAGUAUCUCACUACUGGUUGCUCCUGCUGUCGCUGCUUUGCUGUUUGGUGUCUGUUCAACUCGUCUAUCGGUGUCUUCUAAUCGGUGUUAACUCCUCCACCCUCUACUGCAACUCUCUCAAGAAUCAGCUGAUGGAAAGUGUCGCCAAAAGUAUGCCAAUUUCACAAUUUUUAAGUUAUGUUUGGUCUGAAUUCAAGUCUAAUAUUGAGUUAUAAUAUAUUGAGCAGUGAAUGUUAAGUGUGGUUUCAAAUUAAUGUUAUUUUUCUCUAAAUUUGAGGUUAGGCUGGGUUAAAAGUUGAGUUUAUGUUGCGAUUAAUUUGAGGGUAGGUUCGAUUUCAAAAUGAGACAAAGAAUUUAAGGUUAGGUUCGAUUUCAAAAUGAGACAAAGAAUUUGAGGUUGGGUUCGAUUUCAAAAUGAGACAAAGAAUUUGAGGUUAGGUUCGAUUUCAAAAUGAGAUAAAGACCCCCUUGAGCGGGCCAUUCAUUAUCCGAUUUCUUGUUCAACAAUGUUGGACAGGUAGUGAAACCAUUAGUCCGAUCUUACACACUCACACUUCGAUUGGUAGCUCAUGAGUUAGUCUAACACCCCCAAUCACAUUGCACUCGGCUCUGACUAAGCGGCUGACCUUUGGAUGUCGGAUGUGUUGGACCUCUAGUUCAUCCAACUAUAGUCCGUACAAAAUUACUUCUGACUUGGAGGAAUAUGCGGCGCAGAGAAAUGGAGGGAGAUCAGCCAAUUACAGUGAUUAAUAGUCAUAGGUGGAAGCGCAGUUGCCAAUUUGUCAGUCGUCUGACUGCUUUCAGACAGAAAACUUCGCAUGUGUAGCUUGAGCACAUGAACAGUCACUAGAAGUUGGAGAACGCCGGCCGCUUCAAAACGGCAACAUCGCGCCUCUGUAUCCCUCCCGCUGUAUGCUUUCUCUGUUGCGCAUGUCCAUCCCAAGUAAGAAGUAAUUUUGUACAGAGUAUAGUCCGGCAACAUUCGACUUAACAUGAACAACCCCAUUUACGGUCCGACGUCGAAUCCAACAUUGAAUAUUUGACCCCAAGUUGGACUAGAAAUCGGAUAGUGAAUGGCCCACUUUACACAGUCAAGUAUAUGAUAAUAUGUUUGGUUGUAGAUCCCUGAUAAACUUUUUUCAAGUAACAUAUUAAUAAUUCCCGUGCUACACUAUCAAAUUUUAGAGAAAAAAAAUGUAUCAAAGAUUUGAUCAGAUAUAUGAUCAUUUAUGUUUGUACAAUGAAGCUCUAGAGCUUGUUUAACAAAUUUAGGCUGAGUGUAGCAUUACUCAACACUGUUACAACCCAAAUGACAAAAGCCUCAUGUUUUCUAAAGGGACAUCUAAAUGUAAAGAGGCUGGCCAUAGGGCCCUAUUACAUACUCACGUACUAAAUAAAUCAGUGGUCUUUGAUAAACUUUUAUUGAAUAUAUUUGAUUCCCUAUUAGACUCUUGUUAAACAAUAAAAUAUUUUAUAAAAUAUGACCGAUUACAGAUUACACCCUUAAAGAUCUUUGAUCAAAUAUUUGACGGUUUUUAUGGUGCCCAUAAUUACAACCUCAAUUGAUUCUUUUCAGAAUAUCAGCUUAUUAUGCUUCUCAUUCAAGCGUGAAAUCGAACUCAUUCCAAUUCUAAUAUUUUUUAGUUCCAAAUUGAGGGACGAAUUGGUCAAAUUUAAAGUUUUCAAUUUAGGUUAAGAUUAGCCUAUUAUUUAUCUGGAAAGAAUGAAGGGAGGCUCUAUCCACUACCUCCUUUUACGGAGGUAGUGCUCUAUCUUGUUGGCUGAGUACUUGUCCCCUAUAAUAAAUAUUGAUGUAUACCGUACUGUACAAGCUUUUUAUCCAUGAUUUUUUCUUAUGAACCAUAUUCUAUAACCUGAUUCACUUGAAAAAAUUCAGUAUUAGUCAAAUUGGGAGUGCGAAUAAGUCUGUUGAGUUAACACUUGACUUACUAUGGCCAAAUAAUUUUCAUAUUAUACAUUUAAAUAUUUAUAAUGAAUUGUUUAUUAAGAAACAUUCAGAAAGGAUUUCUCUUUAACGAUUCUCAACUAUGUUCUUAGAAAAUUAAAAUUUGGUUUGUAUUAAUUUGAACAUCUCGGUAUUUACUGAAUAUAUUAAGUUAAAUUAAUAAUCAAAUGGAAAUCUGAUAUUAUCAAAUCAUAAAGUGAAUUACUUUUCUGUAAUUUUCUGAUUAUUUUAAUUUUUACUCUUUACUUUAUUGAAGCUCUCAUAUGCUGCAUUCUGGCUCCUUUCAUUUUGAAGAUGUUUACCUUUAUCUUAUCUUAUAAUCUUCUUCUACUUUUUUUGGAUUCUCUUAUCACUUCAUUAUUUAUUUCCUCCUUUGGGUAAAGUGGCAGAGUGGACAUUUCUGUCCAAAUUUCGCCUCUUCUUCAAAUAAAAAGUCAUUCUGUUAUCUUCUCCCGCUUCUCCUAUAUCUUUCCAUCUCUUAUAACUGUACAAUGCUGUAUGCUGAAACUAUCUUUCAUGUAUUUAAAAACUCUCAAUAAUUAUUUUCCUCAAUUUUCCACUGUUUCAGUUGCAUUAUUGACUUCUAUUGUGAGUAUUUUUACUGUUUUUGCGAAAUGAAUUCUUAGAGGUAAUGGUUGUAUGGAAUAAGAGAUUCCCAUAAUCUACAUACCUCGUUGAUAUAUGUGUCACAGUUAUUGUAUCUAAUCCAUUAGCCUAUUUUCAUUGAGCAUAGUAGUAACUUCCUUUGGACCCAUAUUCCAAUGUAAUUGGUACAUAUUCCAUGUAGUAAUUGAUCACUUUAUGUCGUAUACAUUUAUGUCUUAUUGAUGUUAUUUAGUAAUCUACUAAUACAAUAUUGAUGUUUCAUAAUUAUUGUUUUAAUUAUCUGGUGUUUACUGUUAGUAAAAUUUGAAACUAUUGAUGUUCAAUACUGUAAGUAAUAAGUGUGUAGUAUUGGGAUAAUCCAAUUAUUACUUGAAAAUAAUCACAUUAACAUGUGUAUUAAGAGUAUACUGUGUUCAACUGUCCAUACUAUUAAUGAAUGGUGAAUAGGUUAAAUUUCCGAAUACAUCAGAACUAUACCUACUUUCAUUCUUCUAAUUCAGUGCUCUAGAGUAUUAACUCUUUAUUUCUCAUUUACCUUCCGGAAGUCGCGCCCUACUCUAUCACACAAGCAGUCGCGUGUUGUAAUUUUUACAACAUCCUAUUUAUUAUGUGUUACUAUUAUAUACUCUGUUUACUAUCAAAUAUCAAUUUAAUUGUAUAAUUAAUAUUUCCAUCUCAUUGGAUUAUUUUACGCCUAUGAACAUUUACAUGAUUACCUUUUCGUAGCCCAAUAAGGUACACCAAGCAAAGCCAACAAUUGUGUUUUAUUGAUUCGUUGGCAGUCUCUCUCCCUACCAUAUGCACUACUUAUGCACUGUCGCGAACCAUUGCUCUGUUGAUACUGCAACUCAAUGGAGUGAUGGGGAAAAAGCUUUGGAAUGCAUAGGUGACUCAUUCACUGACACCACCCCAUUCAAUAGUUCUGUGCAGCAAAAAAACUGACAAUGUUGUGCUUCUUACAACAGCGCGACUGCCGGAAGGUUAACUUGAUGCUCCAAGCAAAUUAUUCUGAUAAAUUUAAAUAAUGUUUGAAUUUCCUUGGAGUUUAUCCUACCAGUUUUUGACAUUAUAUUGUACAAACUAGCAUUGGUUUACAUGUUCAAGAAUUCUCUCCAGAUAUUUCUGACUUGAUAAUAGGAUGUUUGAGGGUGUGAUAUUAAUAGGAUAUAAUUUUCAUUCCAUUUUCAAUAUUACAUGCUAUUAAUUCGUCACAAACAAUUGCUCAUAAAGUACAAUUUUUUUUAUUUAUAAUGUUUUAUUCUUAUAAAUUAUUUUCCAUCAAACUUUUUUGGCGUUUCAGGAGUAUAUUUGCUUAUUGAAAACCGCGUAUUGAACUCACGUUUUAAUAUUUUUCUGUACUUUUUAAUAUUCUAAUUUGUAAUGCUAAUGCCACUAACCAAUUAUUUUCCUGCAUUAUAUUAGUUCCAAUUAGAGAAUGAGUUGAAUAUUUUCAGUUAUCUAUAUUCUUAUCUCUGUGAAUACGCAGUAAACCCUUGUUUACAUGCAAUAUAUUAGCUCCAAUUCAGUGAUGAGAUUUUCUCAUUAGCCCACCUGAAAAUCAAUUUGUUCUGCUUCUCACAAAACGAUAACUUUCUAGUUUUUGCUAUAUUUACCUGAGUUUUCUCUCAAGUGGGAAAAGUAAAUGAUUAGAUCGAAAUAGCUUUUGUCAGAAACUAAUAAACUUCGUUGAAAAAAAUAGCUUGGGUGGUUCAGUACCUAGUAUUAUCAAAAACAUUUUUUUUACAGUAUUAUAUUUAUCUCAAUUUCAUUCCAAUGUGAUAUGCCUCAUUAUAUAAUAUUUAAUGUAUUUUAUGUAUUAGCUUGAUUAUCUUUAUAUUAGCAACUAAAUAAAAAAAUAUCAUAUUUGAUUAUCACAUAUUAUCAAUUUAUUUUAGUACAUGAAUGGGUGAAAAUGUUGGACGCCAAAUAAUGUGAAUUGAAGUAGGGAGUUUUGAGUUAUUAUAUUAUCAGAACAAAGACAUAAUUUUAUUUGCUGCUAUGAUUGAUCUCAUUAUUGUUAUUUUUAGUCUAUUAUAUUUUGCUAUCAUUUAUUGGAUUUAGUAGAUUUUUCUCCUGAGGAAAAUACUUCUUAGGUAAAUUAGGUUAAGAAAAUAUUUUUUUGCUUCAAUUGCUGGAAAUAUGUUUUUUUUCUAUUAAUCGAAAAUAUGAAUGAAGAUCAAAUUAUUUUAUACAAUUUUAGUUAUUUAAUUCAAAGCCAUUCAACGAACAACGAUAUUAUAUUAUAAAUAUUUUAUUUUAUUAAGAAGAUGGCUUUUGAAGCUGGAAAACUGUUUAUGAUAUUGAUAGAACAAAGUAGGUAUAAGGAAUUCAAAUUCAAAUCUGAAUCUGAUUCAAAAUUGAAUUGAAUUAUAAUUCAAAUAACGAGAGGCUGAGAAUUAUCAGGCACAACUGUUUAUUCUUUAUUGUUUGAAUUCCAUAGUUUUUUCUAAACUCAUGCUUUUAACAAGUGUUUACCAUUUUACAUUCUAUUUGAUUCAGUAUUGAUGUUUUGAUACAUAUAUAUUAUUAACUUAUACAUUUUAAGUCCUCAAAUAUAUCUUGAUGGAUACUGGCUUAACCACUACUUAUUCUGUGGGGCUGUGUACUUUGAACUCUUGGUGUAUUUAUAUUAUUGUGGAAACAUACCGUACACUCAUUAAUGUGGAAACCCCAAUCUUAUCGAUGUCAUUAUAUGAGUAUUAUCUGUGUAAUCAAAUUUAUGUAUCUUUGUGGAGAAAUUAUUAAAUUAUCUGUGAUAA